RNAcentral lists this ribosomal RNA (652 nucleotides) under uncultured Bacteroides sp. Its description in RNAcentral is "bacterial SSU rRNA". It matches the Rfam family "Bacterial small subunit ribosomal RNA", at positions 69 to 715 of the family's 1533-position model. Lineage: Bacteria; Pseudomonadati; Bacteroidota; Bacteroidia; Bacteroidales; Bacteroidaceae. The record is from RNAcentral.
AUGGUCUUAGCUUGCUAAGGCCGAUGGCGACCGGCGCACGGGUGAGUAACACGUAUCCCACCUGCCGUCUACUCUUGGACAGCCUUCUGAAAGGAAGAUUCAUACAAGAUGGCAUCAUGAGUUCACAUGUUCACAUGAUUAAAGGUAUUCCGGUAGACGAUGGGGAUGCGUUCCAUUAGAUAGUAGGCGGGGUAACGGCCCACCUAGUCUUCGAUGGAUAGGGGUUCUGAGAGGAAGGUCCCCCACAUUGGAACUGAGACACGGUCCAAACUCCUACGGGAGGCAGCAGUGAGGAAUAUUGGUCAAUGGGCGCAGGCCUGAACCAGCCAAGUAGCGUGAAGGAUGACUGCCCUAUGGGUUGUAAACUUCUUUUAUAAAGGAAUAAAGUCGGGUAUGUAUACCCGUUUGCAUGUACUUUAUGAAUAAGGAUCGGCUAACUCCGUGCCAGCAGCCGCGGUAAUACGGAGGAUUCGAGCGUUAUCCGGAUUUAUUGGGUUUAAAGGGAGCGUAGAUGGAUGUUUAAGUCAGUUGUGAAAGUUUGCGGCUCAACCGUAAAAUUGCAGUUGAUACUGGAUAUCUUGAGUGCAGUUGAGGCAGGCGGAAUUCGUGGUGUAGCGGUGAAAUGCUUAGAUAUCACGAAGAACUCCGAUUG